Molecule: non-coding RNA, 31 nt
Filed under: Rattus norvegicus (Norway rat)
Lineage: Eukaryota; Metazoa; Chordata; Mammalia; Rodentia; Muridae
Source: RNAcentral
UCUUUCUAAAAGAACCACAAGUACAUUUUGC